GUUUAUUUAACGACGCCCUUUCUUCUCCCGCUCGCACUAAACGCCUGCUACGCAGGCUACCCUUAUUCCAAUGUUGAAACCUACUGUACUUAUCCAAAACGAACAGGAAAGGUGGCACUAGAACCGCGACUGUGUCACUGGCAGUUGAAAUGUAACAUAUGAUGUUGGAAUUAAACUAUAUUGUAGUGCCUAACAACAUUGAAAUCGGGGGAGGGGGUUUGUCUCAAAUAUUUUGUGGACGAUUGUAGGUACGAGGUUGUAUGUACGCUGGAUCGACUUGUGGGCAUGGCUAAACAGGUCCCUAUAGUCGGUUAUACGCAGCUGUUCGUAAAUAAUUUUCGAGCAAUUUCCAC
Non-coding RNA from Paramuricea clavata, 353 nucleotides. The record is from the annotation of a GenBank genome assembly. Lineage: Eukaryota; Metazoa; Cnidaria; Anthozoa; Malacalcyonacea; Plexauridae.